Molecule: non-coding RNA, 114 nt
Organism: Acanthosepion pharaonis
Lineage: Eukaryota; Metazoa; Mollusca; Cephalopoda; Sepiida; Sepiidae
Source: the annotation of a GenBank genome assembly
UAUGGCCACAUCACAUUGAAACAUCUGUUCCCAUAUGAUUAUCAUAGUUAAGCAAUAUUGAGCCUGGUCAGUACCAAGAUGUGUGACUGCUUGGGAAAUACCAGCUGCUGUAAG